RNAcentral lists this small nuclear RNA (148 nucleotides) under Lates calcarifer (barramundi perch). Its description in RNAcentral is "U1 spliceosomal RNA (ENSLCAG00010027125.1)". It matches the Rfam family "U1 spliceosomal RNA". From Rfam's summary of the family: U1 is a small nuclear RNA (snRNA) component of the spliceosome (involved in pre-mRNA splicing). Its 5' end forms complementary base pairs with the 5' splice junction, thus defining the 5' donor site of an intron. There are significant differences in sequence and secondary structure between metazoan and yeast U1 snRNAs, the latter being much longer (568 nucleotides as compared to 164 nucleotides in human). Lineage: Eukaryota; Metazoa; Chordata; Actinopteri; Centropomidae. The record is from RNAcentral.
AUACUUACCUGUACCAUGAUCAAGAAGGUGGUUCACUCAGCCAUUGCACUUUGCGCUGACCCCUGCGAAUUCCCCAAAUGUGGGAGUCUCGACUGCAUAAUUUCUGGUAGUGGGGGACUGAACGUCAAAGGAAAACAAGGUGUCCCGG